This 87-nucleotide transfer RNA is filed under the name Rhodospirillaceae bacterium. RNAcentral's name for it is "tRNA-Leu". It matches the Rfam family "tRNA". Rfam says of the family: Transfer RNA (tRNA) molecules are approximately 80 nucleotides in length. Their secondary structure includes four short double-helical elements and three loops (D, anti-codon, and T loops). The record is from RNAcentral. Lineage: Bacteria; Pseudomonadati; Pseudomonadota; Alphaproteobacteria; Rhodospirillales; Rhodospirillaceae.
GCCCCUGUGGCGGAAUUGGUAGACGCGCCAGACUCAAAAUCUGGUUUCUGCAAGGAAGUGUCAGUUCGAGUCUGACCGGGGGCACCA